ACCAAGGAGUCUGACAUGUGUGCAAGUCAACAGGCGAGUAAACCUAUAAGGUGCAAGGAGUUUAUUGGUGGGAUCCCCCUUUGGGUUGCACCACUGGCCGACCCUGAUCUUCUGUGAAUGGUUUAAGUGAGAGCAUACCUAUUGGGACUCGAAAGAUGGUGAACUAUGCCUGAGCGGGACAAAGCCAGAUGAAACUCUAGUGGAGGCCUGCAGUGAUACUAACGUGCAAAUCGUUUGUCUGACUUGGGUAUAGGGGCAAAAGACUAAUUGAACCGUCUAGUAGCUGGUUCCCUUCGAUGUUUCCCUUCGAAUAGUUGGAGCCCACGGGCGAGUUCUAUCGGGUAAAGCCAAUGAUUAGAGGCAUCGGGGGCACAACGCCCUUGACCUAUUCUCAAAAUUUAAAUAGGUAGGACGGCAUAGCUGCUCUGUUAAGCCACGCCAUUGAAUCAAGAGCUCUAAGUGGGCCAUUUUUGGUAAGCAGAAUUCGCGAUGCGGAAUGAACCAAAAGCUGGGUUGCGGCGCCCAAGUGUGCACUAACCUAGAACCCACAAAGGGUGUUGGUCGAUUAAGACAGUAGGACAGUGGUCAUGGAAGUUGAAAUCCACUAAGGAAUGUGUAACAACUCACUUGUCGAAUCAACUAGCCACAAAAAUGGAUGGCGCUAAAGCGUGCGACCUAUACCCGACUGUCGGGGCAAGGACCAAGCCCCAAUGAGUAGGAAGGUGCGGUGGUCACUGCAAAGCCCAAGGUGUAAGCUCAGGCGGAGUGCCCGUCAAUGCAAAUCUUGGUGUUAGUAGAAAAUAUUCAAAUGAGAACUUUGAAGGCUGCAAAGGGGAAAGGUUCCAUGUGAGCGACACUUGCAUAUGGGUUAGUCGAUCCUAAGGAAUAGGGGAAGCCCGUUUGAUAGCGCUCUGUGCAUGUACUCCGAAAGGGUAUUAGGUUAAAAUUCCUGAAUCGGGAUAUGGCGGCUAAUGGCAAUGUUAGGGAAUCCAAAGACGUUGACAGGGGCCCUGGAAAGAGUUAUCUUUUCUAUUUAACAGCCUGCCCACCCUAGAAAUGACUCAACCAGAGGUAGGGUCCAAUGGCUGGAAGAGCACUGCACAUUGCAUGGUGUCCGGUGUGCCCCCGAUAGCCCUUGAAAAUCCGGAGGACUGAGUGCCUCCCAUGCCCGGUCGUACUCAUAAGGACAUCAGGUCUCCAAGGUGAAUAACCUCUGGUC
RNAcentral lists this non-coding RNA (1219 nucleotides) under Glycine max (soybean). RNAcentral describes it as "rRNA LSU_rRNA_eukarya". It matches the Rfam family "Eukaryotic large subunit ribosomal RNA", at positions 665 to 1888 of the family's 3401-position model. Lineage: Eukaryota; Viridiplantae; Streptophyta; Magnoliopsida; Fabales; Fabaceae. The record is from Rfam by way of RNAcentral.